Molecule: non-coding RNA, 115 nt
Organism: Triticum aestivum (bread wheat)
Lineage: Eukaryota; Viridiplantae; Streptophyta; Magnoliopsida; Poales; Poaceae
Source: Rfam
CUUGUACUCCCUCCGUCCGAAAAUACUUGUCAUUGAAAUGGAUGUAUCUAGAUGUAUUUUAGUUCUAGACACAUCCAUUUUGAUGACUAGUAAUUCCGGACGGAGGGAGUACUUG